UACGUAGGGUCCGAGCGUUGUCCGGAGUUACUGGGCGUAAAGCGCGCGCAGGCGGCUUCAUAAGUCUGGCGUGAAAGCCCCCGGCUCAACCGGGGAGGGUCGUCGGAGACUGUGGAGCUUGAGGGCGGUAGGGGCUGGUGGAAUUCCCGGUGUAGUGGUGAAAUUCGUAGAUAUCGGGAGGAACACCGGUGGCGAAGGCGGCGACCUGGGUAGAUACUGACGCUGAGGUGCGAAAGCGUGGGGAGCAAACAGG
Molecule: ribosomal RNA, 253 nt
Filed under: uncultured bacterium
Lineage: Bacteria
Description: partial 16S ribosomal RNA
Rfam family: Bacterial small subunit ribosomal RNA
Source: RNAcentral